Molecule: long non-coding RNA, 317 nt
Organism: Prionailurus viverrinus (fishing cat)
Lineage: Eukaryota; Metazoa; Chordata; Mammalia; Carnivora; Felidae
Exons: 3
Source: RefSeq, a predicted model, not a curated record
CAGCCUUAAUGCCCAUCAACAGGAGAAGGGCGAAGGCCUUAUGGCCUUGUCUGUAUCUCAGCCGUUAGCAAGACACCUAUGUAAUGAUACAGGAAGAUCAUCAGGAGAGUAUUGGAUGAACAAAGCAAGGUGCAGAAGAAAGAGAAAACCCAAGGGUGGUGCAGUGGCUGCAUGAAGCUAGCAGUGUCUGACCUUCCUCCUGUUCCACCAUCUUUGGCGUGUGGGGUCAAGUCUGUGCUCCUCGAGAGCACAGGCCAGAGCGAGCGGGCCCAUCUGCUUCUAUUUCACUCCACGUUACUCAUCAGGAUGUGUUUGCC